RNAcentral lists this ribosomal RNA (119 nucleotides) under Pteropus alecto (black flying fox). Lineage: Eukaryota; Metazoa; Chordata; Mammalia; Chiroptera; Pteropodidae. The record is from RNAcentral.
GUCUACGACCAUGGCACCCUGAACAAGCCCAAUUUCGUCUGAUCUUGGAAGCUAAGCAGGGUCGGGCCUGGUUAGUACAUGGAUGGGAGACCACCUAGGAAGAUCAGGUGCUGUAGGCA